GGAUGAAGAACGCAGCGAAAUGCGAUAAGUAAUGUGAAUUGCAGAAUUCAGUGAAUCAUCGAAUCUUUGAACGCACAUUGCGCCCCCUGGUAUUCCGGGGGGCAUGCCUGUCCGAGCGUCAUUUCAACCCUCAAGCUCUGCUUGGUCUUGGGCUCUCUUGCUAGCGAUGGCAGGCCCUAAAAUUAGUGGCGGAGCCGCUGUGGUCCUGAGCGUAGUAACAUACCCUCGCUACUGGUCCUCGGCGUGCCUCUUGCCAACCCCCCCAAACUUUCUAUGGUUGACCUCGGAUCAGGUAGGGAUACCCGCUGAACUUAAGCAUAUCAAUAAGCGGAGGA
Molecule: unclassified non-coding RNA, 335 nt
Filed under: soil metagenome
Description: partial contains 5.8S ribosomal RNA, internal transcribed spacer 2, and large subunit ribosomal RNA
Rfam family: 5.8S ribosomal RNA (bases 2-121)
Source: RNAcentral